UAGUUCCAGAAAAUGGGAGGAUGAGUAAUUCUGUGGUUUAUUAAGAACAGUAUUAAUUAUGGAAGAACUAGUUAGGAGUAUAUAGUAUAGAGUACUGUAGAGGAAAGGUUUUAUCAACUAAAAAGUAAAGCUGUGCGCUUGUACCUUUUGCAUCAUGGUUUAGCAAGAGAUGGCUAUAUAGUGGUUCUCGAAACUAGAGGAGCUUCCUUGACUCCGGUUUGUAGUCACAUUUUAACUGAGUGUGGCAGAACUCAGAUAAGAGGGCAAGGAAGGUGUGAGAUUCUAUUCGUCUCUGGUGAUAGCUAGUUUCUGUAGAAAGGCAUUUAAGUGUCGCGGCUCUUAUUCUUACAGAUUUAGAUUAUGGAAUCUUAACAGUAAGUAGGGUUAGAUAAGCAUUAGAGGAUAAGCUCUAUUGGGAUAGGUUAAAAAUGCGAAAAAAAGCUAGGCCUAUAAUUAGCCAGGAAUGUAUCAGUUUGUUAUACAUGAUUGUAGAGAGCAUUGCAAAAUUGGGUUCUAAGAUUUAGAGUAUGUAGAAAUAAGUGAGUAAUUUUUACGGUCAAUAGAAUUUAUGCUAAAAUGAGUAUUGAGUUAAUAUAAAGUACGCUAUAAUGAAGUAGAGGCUUCUCUAAGUGAUAGACUACAUUAUAUAUUUCUAGAAGGAACUCGGCAAGAUUACUAUCUUCGCCUGUUUAGCAAAAACAUGGCUCUCUGCGCACAGAUAGGGAGUCGGACCUGCCCGGUGAGAUCGCUUUAACGGCCGCGGUACUUUGACCGUGCUAAGGUAGCGUAAUCAUUUGCCUUUUCAUUGGAGGCUGGUAUGAAUGGUUUGACGGGGAUAGACUGUCUCCUGGGAAAAAGUAGAAUUUAAUUUUUGGGUGAAAAAGCCCAGAUAAAAGUAUAAGACGAGAAGACCCUAUCGAGCUUUAUUCUUUGGUGAGACUCUAUAUAAUCGCUCUCCUUAGGAAUUUGGUUGGGGCGACAAAGGAGCCAAAAAAGCCUCCUUUAACUUUAUUUAGUAUGAUGGUUAUAGAUCCGGCAAAUGCUGAUUAAAAGAAUAAGUUACCGUAGGGAUAACAGCAUAAUUUUUUUAGAGAGUUCGUAUCGAAAAGAAAGUUUGUGACCUCGAUGUUGGACUAGGGUAACCUAAAGGUGCAGUAGCUUUUAAGGGUGAGUCUGUUCGACUUUUAAAAUCCU
This 1194-nucleotide ribosomal RNA is filed under the name Novastoa sp. TAR-2014. Its description in RNAcentral is "partial 16S ribosomal RNA". It matches the Rfam family "Bacterial large subunit ribosomal RNA", at positions 544 to 2597 of the family's 2925-position model. Lineage: Eukaryota; Metazoa; Mollusca; Gastropoda; Littorinimorpha; Vermetidae. The record is from RNAcentral.